UUUGUAUAAGAUGCUCCAUU
RNAcentral lists this microRNA (20 nucleotides) under Monodelphis domestica (gray short-tailed opossum). RNAcentral describes it as "mdo-miR-7371f-5p". The record is from miRBase by way of RNAcentral. Lineage: Eukaryota; Metazoa; Chordata; Mammalia; Didelphimorphia; Didelphidae.